Molecule: unclassified non-coding RNA, 378 nt
Filed under: uncultured delta proteobacterium
Lineage: Bacteria; Deltaproteobacteria
Description: contains 16S-23S intergenic spacer region
Source: RNAcentral
UCUGCCUUAUAGGCCAGCGGUCCUAUUAGAGUGCCCAACUGAAUGCUGGUAACUAAUAGCGAGGGUUGCGCUCGUUGCGGGACUUAACCCAACAUCUCACAACACGAGCUGACGACAGCCAUGCAGCACCUGUCACCGCGUCUCCGAAGAGAACCCCAACUUUCGCUGGGUAGCGCGGGAUUUCAAGUCCAGGUAAGGUUUUUCGCGUAGCAUCGAAUUAAACCACAUGCUCCACCGCUUGUGCGGGCCCCCGUCAAUUCCUUUGAGUUUUAAUCUUGCGACCGUAAUUCCCAGGCGGAAUACUUAAUGCGUUAGCUACGUCACCGAAGCAAUUAGGAACUCCGACGACUAGUAUUCAUCGUUUAGGGCGUGGACUAC